GCGGCCGUAGUAUAGUGGUAGUACGGAACCUUGCCAAGGUUCAGGUGUGGGUUCGAUUCCCAUCGGCCGCUCCA
This 74-nucleotide transfer RNA is filed under the name Terriglobia bacterium. RNAcentral's name for it is "tRNA-Gly". It matches the Rfam family "tRNA". From Rfam's summary of the family: Transfer RNA (tRNA) molecules are approximately 80 nucleotides in length. Their secondary structure includes four short double-helical elements and three loops (D, anti-codon, and T loops). The record is from RNAcentral. Lineage: Bacteria; Pseudomonadati; Acidobacteriota; Terriglobia.